Molecule: ribosomal RNA, 494 nt
Filed under: uncultured bacterium
Lineage: Bacteria
Description: bacterial SSU rRNA
Rfam family: Bacterial small subunit ribosomal RNA
Source: RNAcentral
AUUGAACGCUGGCGGAAUGCUUUACACAUGCAAGUCGAACGGCAGCACGGGAGCUUGCUCCUGGUGGCGAGUGGCGAACGGGUGAGUAAUGCGUCGGAACGUACCGAGUAAUGGGGGAUAACGCAGCGAAAGCUGUGCUAAUACCGCAUACGCCCUGAGGGGGAAAGUGGGGGAUCGCAAGACCUCACGUUAUUCGAGCGGCCGACGUCUGAUUAGCUAGUUGGUGGGGUAAAGGCCUACCAAGGCGACGAUCAGUAGCGGGUCUGAGAGGAUGAUCCGCCACACUGGAACUGAGACACGGUCCAGACUCCUACGGGAGGCAGCAGUGGGGAAUUUUGGACAAUGGGGGCAACCCUGAUCCAGCCAUUCCGCGUGAGGGAAGAAGGUCCUCUGGAUUGUAAACCUCUUUUGGCAGGAAACAAACCUGCGCUAUACGCGCAGCUGAGGGUACCUGCAGAAUAAGCACCGGCUAACUCCGUGCCAGCAGCCGACGG